AUGAGGUAUUUAUGUUGUAUCUCAGACCCUAUUUUACAUCAUAUGAGGUAUUUAUGUUGUAUCUCAGACCCUAUUUUACAUCAUAUGAGGUAUUUAUGUUGUAUCUCAGACCCUAUUUUACAUCAUAUGAGGUAUUUAUGUUGUAUCUCAGACCCUAUUUUACAUCAUAUGAGGUAUUUAUGUUGUAGACCCUAUUUUACAUCAUAUGAGGUAUUUAUGUUGUAUCUCAGACCCUAUUUUACAUCAUAUGAGGUAUUUAUAUUGUAUCUCAGACCCUAUUUUACAUCAUAUGAGGUAUUUAUGUUAUAUCUCAGACCCUAUUUUACAUCAUAUGAGGUAUUUAUAUUGUAUCUCAGACCCUAUUUUACAUCAUAUGAGGUAUUUAUGUUGUAUCUCAGACCCUAUUUUACAUCAUAUGAGGUAUUUAUGUUGUAUCUCAGACCCUAUUUUACAUCAUAUGAGGUAUUUAUGUUGUAUCCCAGACCCUAUUUUACAUCAUAUGAGGUAUUUAUGUUGUAUCUCAGACCCUAUUUUACAUCAUAUGAGGUAUUUAUGUUGUGUCUCAGACCCUAUUUUACAUCAUAUGAGGUAUUUAUGUUGUAUCUCAGACCCUAUUUUACAUCAUAUGAGGUAUUUAUGUUGUAUCUCAGACCCUAUUUUACAUCAUAUGAGGUAUUUAUGUUGUAUCUCAGACCCUAUUUUACAUCAUAUGAGGUAUUUAUGUUGUAUCUCAGACCCUAUUUUACAUCAUAUGAGGUAUUUAUGUUGUAUCUCAGACCCUAUUUUACAUCAUAUGAGGUAUUUAUGUUGUAUCUCAGACCCUAUUUUACAUCAUAUGAGGUAUUUAUGUUGUAUCUCAGACCCUAUUUUACAUCAUAUGAGGUAUUUAUGUUGUAUCUCAGACCCUAUUUUACAUCAUAUGAGGUAUUUAUGUUGUAUCUUAGACCCUAUUUUACAUCAUAUGAGGUAUUUAUGUUGUAUCUCAGACCCUAUUUUACAUCAUUUGAGGUAUUUAUGUUGUAUCUCAGACCCUAUUUUACAUCAUAUGAGGUAUUUAUGUUGUAUCUCAGACCCUAUUUUACAUCAUAUGAGGUAUUUAUGUUGUAUCUCAGACCCUAUUUUACAUCAUAUGAGGUAUUUAUGUUGUAUCUCAGACCCUAUUUUACAUCAUAUGAGGUAUUUAUGUUGUAUCUCAGACCCUAUUUUACAUCAUAUGAGGUAUUUAUGUUGUAUCUCAGAUCCUAUUUUACAUCAUAUGAGGUAUUUAUGUUGUAUCUCAGACCCUAUUUUACAUCAUAUGAGGUAUUUAUGUUGUAUCUCAGACCCUAUUUUACAUCAUAUGAGGUAUUUAUGUUAUAUCUCAGACCCUAUUUUACAUCAUAUGAGGUAUUUAUAUUGUAUCUCAGACCCUAUUUUACAUCAUAUGAGGUAUUUAUGUUGUAUCUCAGACCCUAUUUUACAUCAUAUGAGGUAUUUAUGUUGUAUCUCAGACCCUAUUUUACAUCAUAUGAGGUAUUUAUGUUGUAUCUCAGACCCUAUUUUACAUCAUUUGAGGUAUUUAUGUUGUAUCCCAGACCCUAUUUUACAUCAUAUGAGGUAUUUAUGUUGUAUCUCAGACCCUAUUUUACAUCAUUUGAGGUAUUUAUGUUGUAUCUCAGACCCUAUUUUACAUCAUAUGAGGUAUUUAUGUUGUAUCUCAGACCCUAUUUUACAUCAUAUGAGGUAUUUAUGUUGUAUCUUAGACCCUAUUUUACAUCAUAUGAGGUAUUUAUGUUGUAUCUCAGACCCUAUUUUACAUCAUAUGAGGUAUUUAUGUUGUAUCUCAGACCCUAUUUUACAUCAUAUGAGGUAUUUAUGUUGUAUCUCAGACCCUAUUUUACAUCAUAUGAGGUAUUUAUGUUGUAUCUCAGACCCUAUUUUACAUCAUAUGAGGUAUUUAUGUUGAAUCUCAGACCCUAUUUUACAUCAUAUGAGGUAUUUAUGUUGAAUCUCAGACCCUAUUUUACAUCAUAUGAGGUAUUUAUGUUGUAUCUCAGACCCUAUUUUACAUCAUAUGAGGUAUUUAUGUUGUAUCUCAGACCCUAUUUUACAUCAUAUGAGGUAUUUAUGUUGAAUCUCAGACCCUAUUUUACAUCAUAUGAGGUAUUUAUGUUGAAUCUCAGACCCUAUUUUACAUCAUAUGAGGUAUUUAUGUUGUAUCUCAGACCCUAUUUUGCAUCAUAUGAGGUAUUUAUGUUGUGCCCGUCAUCAGUUGAGACACAGCAUACUCUUGAAUACAGGGUGGGUGUCAUUUCAAUCAUAGAAGUAGAAUUCAUAGAAUGUACAUUUCCAUUAAGACCACUACAAUUUAGCUGGUACACCAUGACAUUUAAAUUGAGUAGAAACUUUAACUUCCAAUUACCAGAUGGCCGCCAGUCCACCCAGCAUCGAAUGUCAACUUGA
RNAcentral lists this long non-coding RNA (2442 nucleotides) under Oncorhynchus kisutch (coho salmon). RNAcentral describes it as "lncRNA (ENSOKIG00005039393.1)". Lineage: Eukaryota; Metazoa; Chordata; Actinopteri; Salmoniformes; Salmonidae. The record is from RNAcentral.